Non-coding RNA from Caretta caretta (loggerhead turtle), 1319 nucleotides. Lineage: Eukaryota; Metazoa; Chordata; Testudines; Cheloniidae. The record is from RefSeq and is a predicted model, not a curated record.
GCAGAAGGGUGGAGUUAAAUUGAGGGGCGCCGGGGAGCCCGCUGGAGGGGAGCGUCUGGUGAGGCGGAGCUGCUGUGCCAUGCCCGGCCACAAGGAGACGCUGUAAUGCCCAGAGCGUGUCAGAAAUGAUUUGGUUGCGAUUGCAGUGUUCGCAAACUGCGUUCCUCGGUGUAUCAAUUUGGGUUACUGAAAACGGGGUCAAAACCCAUCAACAUUGUUACCCAACUGAAGCUGCGCCCACGGACGGAGACUAGGUUGUGGUGCACAGUGAAGAAACCCCCAGGCAGAGGAAGAAGAAAAGAUAAAAUGUUAUAAACGACAGACUGGUCAACCACAUCUCAACCUACCCCACAGGGACCAUUGAGCCUGUUACAGAGACCCAGAGCUGGGCCGGUUCUACCUGUUCCUCAACUGGUUUGUUAUGAAGCGUGGUGAGUUCGUGCGGAUACCUGUGCUUUCGAGUCUCCCUCGCUGACGUCCGGUGGAGCUUGGUUAUGGUGUCCAAGCAAACGUAUCAUGACUGUGGAUGUCUUUGGUAAUUACUCAAAAAGCAUCUUCUCAGCAUGGCGUGCAACCCGCACGGGCUGGGCAAAACCCUGCAGUAGCUCCUGGGAGUUCCGGACACCUCGGGGAUGGAGGUUGUUUGUUACUCUGAACAAAACGUUCGGGUCUUUCCAAAGUUUACAGCUGAACGUUGACUUAACACAGCUUUGAAAGUCCCCUGUGGAAAACGCUGCUUUCCCUUGACGUGUUUAGUAGUUUACGUUUAACAGAGCGCCGUGCUGUACAGUACUGUGGUUUGAUCUCUGCGGCUGCGUGAUUGUAUAUGGCCGGCUGCGUGAUUGUAUAUGGCCGGUUCCCAAUGAGGGGUGUGGCGGUUCGUAACUCUGAAGUUCGUAACUCGGAGGUUCUACUGCAUUGUGGGAUCCUUCAAAUAGGAAACCCCAAGACUAGGUGGAACGAGUGGUUACAUGUCCAGAUUAUUCGAAUCUGGAAUAUCUACUUGGGACAGAGCUCAUUUGAAAAAUAUAUUUAUCCUCCGACCCCCUGUAUUAACUAUUCUGAGCAUCGGGCUGUGGAAUCAGCACCAUGGGGGUAGGAGGAUCGUCUAGUCUCACCCCCAGAACGCAAGACCAAACCCGAAUCACUUAUAACCCAGUAGAGACAGCCUCUAACCCCGUAACUCAAGGCAGUACGUGGUGUGUAAUAUGCAUGACAUUGCCAAGCUGCUUAACUGCAUGCAAGCAAAAUCAAAUGAAUAAUUAAUGAAUAAUGACUAAUACUUAAUUGCAACAGAUAAUAAAAAGGUAAUGAAAUGA